AUUGAACGCUGGCGGCAGGCUUAACACAUGCAAGUCGAACGGUAACAUAAAGAAGCUUGCUUCUUUGAUGACGAGUGGCGGACGGGUGAGUAAUGCUUGGGAAUCUGGCUUAUGGAGGGGGAUAACUACGGGAAACUGUAGCUAAUACCGCGUAGAAUCGAGAGAUGAAAGUGUGGGACCUUCGGGCCACAUGCCAUAGGAUGAGCCCAAGUGGGAUUAGGUAGUUGGUGAGGUAAAGGCUCCCCAAGCCGACGAUCUCUAGCUGGUCUGAGAGGAUGACCGGCCACACUGGUACUGAGACACGGGCCAUACACUUACCGCAAGUAUCAGGGGAUACUUUUUCUAUAAUGUCUUAGCCUAAGGCCGGCAAAAGGCCUGAAUCAGUAUAAACGUUGUUUUGUUUUUUUCUUCGUUAGCUUUUACCCGAUUACGUCAUCUAAAGCUCGACUCUCGUUCUUAGUGGGAUAAAUGC
Molecule: ribosomal RNA, 472 nt
Filed under: uncultured Actinomyces sp.
Lineage: Bacteria; Bacillati; Actinomycetota; Actinomycetes; Actinomycetales; Actinomycetaceae
Description: bacterial SSU rRNA
Rfam family: Bacterial small subunit ribosomal RNA (bases 21-333)
Source: RNAcentral